Long non-coding RNA from Magnolia sinica, 268 nucleotides. RefSeq lists it as uncharacterized. The record is from RefSeq and is a predicted model, not a curated record. The transcript has 3 exons. NCBI's taxonomy places the organism in Eukaryota, Viridiplantae, Streptophyta, Magnoliopsida, Magnoliales, Magnoliaceae.
GGUUGUAUCGCCUUUGACAUUCAGCUUGUUGAUGUUUUUUUAAUAUUUUGUAGGAUUCUCCUAAGAACAGGGAAUUGUUGGGCACAUUUUGGGAUAAGCUAUCUUUGGAUGAGGCAAUGGAGAUUUCAUCGUUGAAGAAUGCAACACUAGAGGUGAUAGAGUAAGAUAUGUGGGUCCACUACAUUCAUCUGGAUUUCCUCCUCUUCAUCCUUCUUAAACGUACCUUCUCUUCUUGCAUGCGCCUAUGUUGUAAGCUGUGCAAUUUUCU